AGUAGAGUGGCAGACGGGUGAGUAACACGUGGGUAACCUGCCCUCGAGUGGGGAAUAACCCAGGGAAACUUGGGCUAAUACCGCAUGACAUCGCCUCUUCCCUGGAAGGGGUGAUUAAAGGUGGGGAUCGAGAGACCUACCGCUCGAGGAGGGGCCUGCGUCUGAUUAGCUUGUUGGUGGGGUAACGGCCUACCAAGGCGACGAUCAGUAGCCGGCCUGAGAGGGUGAUCGGCCACACUGGAACUGAGACACGGUCCAGACUCCUACGGGAGGCAGCAGUGAGGAAUCUUGCGCAAUGGGCGAAAGCCUGACGCAGCAACGCCGCGUGGGUGAUGAAGGCCUUCGGGUCGUAAAACCCUGUCAGGUGGGAAGAAAUGGUGGCGGGCCAAUACCCCGUCAUCUUGACUGUACCACCAGAGGAAGCCCCGGCUAACUCCGUGCCAGCAGCCGCGGUAAUACGGAGGG
Molecule: ribosomal RNA, 465 nt
Filed under: uncultured delta proteobacterium
Lineage: Bacteria; Deltaproteobacteria
Description: bacterial SSU rRNA
Rfam family: Bacterial small subunit ribosomal RNA
Source: RNAcentral